CAGUGCACCGUGGGACAUACCAUAUGUUCGUCUUGCCGUGACAAGCUCCGAGACAAGUGUUGCCUCUGCUCCCUUCCCACAGUCUACAAUCGCUGCCACAUGGUCGAAAAGAUGGUUGAAUCUAUCAAACUUGCUUGCUCCAACUGUAGUCACGGAUGCACAGCAAGGAUAGCCUACUACCAGAAAGAAGAGCAUGAGAAAGGUUGUCAACAUGCGCCAUGUUUCUGCCCUGAAACUGGCUGCAGCUUCAGUGGACCAACCAAAGUGCUCCUGGAGCAUUUCUUAGGCGAGCACGAUUGGUGCUAUGGGGAAAAGGAUCUUAGGUACGGCAAAACGUACAGGAUCAAGACGUUGCUGGGAGUCCGGGGACCAACUGUCUUGAUGGGUAAUGACGGGCACCUCUUCCUGGUCAACAUGACAAUGGAGUCCCUCGGCGGUGUCAUCUCAGUUUGCUGCGUUGAGCCUCACAUUAAUGGAUCCAGGUUCAAGUGCAGGCUGGCAUUGUCGUGCGGCGAACCAAGCUACUCCCAGACUACGGAGUUCUUAACGAGUAGCACUAAUCUGCGUGAUGGGUUUCCUAAAGAUUGCUUCCUGUUCCUUGUGCCAAAGGUGUUGCUUGGAGACACCGGUACAAACCCCGCAGCCACGGUGUGUGUGACCCUCAAGCCACAGUAA
RNAcentral lists this ribosomal RNA (675 nucleotides) under Triticum aestivum (bread wheat). RNAcentral describes it as "partial small subunit ribosomal RNA". Lineage: Eukaryota; Viridiplantae; Streptophyta; Magnoliopsida; Poales; Poaceae. The record is from RNAcentral.